GACGAACGCUGGCGGCGUGCUUAACACAUGCAAGUCGAACGGAAAGGCCCUGCGUUUGUGGGUUGCUCGAGUGGCGAACGGGUGAGUAACACGUGAGUAACCUGCCCUUGACUUUGGGAUAACUUCAGGAAACUGGGGCUAAUACCGGAUAGGAUCUCCUGCUGCAUGGUGGGGGUUGGAAAGUUUCGGCUGUUGGGGAUGGACUCGCGGCUUAUCAGCUUGUUGGUGGGGUAGUGGCUUACCAAGGCUUUGACGGGUAGCCGGCAUGAGAGGGUGACCGGCGACAUUGGGACUGAGAGACGCAGCAGACGCCUACGGGAGGCAGCAGGCGGGAAUAUUGCACAAUGGGGGGAAGCCUGAUGCAGCAACGCCGCGUGCGGGAUGACGGCCUUCGGGUUGUAAACCGCUUUCGAAUGUGACGAAGCGUGAGUGACGGUAAUGGGUAAAGAAGCACCGGCUAACUACGUG
This 468-nucleotide ribosomal RNA is filed under the name uncultured bacterium. RNAcentral describes it as "partial 16S ribosomal RNA". It matches the Rfam family "Bacterial small subunit ribosomal RNA", at positions 28 to 507 of the family's 1533-position model. The record is from RNAcentral.